UGAUGACAAAUCUCCGGAAUCGCUGUAUUUGCUUGAUGAAUACAUUGAACCCAUUUUCUGAUGGCUGCUAUUUGUUAUU
This is a small nucleolar RNA of Amphilophus citrinellus (Midas cichlid), 79 nucleotides long. Ensembl annotates it as small nucleolar RNA, C/D box 68. Its record names the gene SNORD68. The record is from Ensembl. Lineage: Eukaryota; Metazoa; Chordata; Actinopteri; Cichliformes; Cichlidae.